RNAcentral lists this ribosomal RNA (255 nucleotides) under uncultured bacterium. RNAcentral's name for it is "partial 16S ribosomal RNA". The record is from RNAcentral.
CUGCUGCCUUCCGUAGGAGUCUGGGCCGUGUCUCAGUCCCAAUGUGGCCGAUCAACCUCUCAGUUCGGCUACUGAUCGUCGACUAGGUGGGCCGUUACCCCGCCUACUAUCUAAUCAGACGCGAGUCCAUCUGUAAGCGAUAAAUCUUUCAAAGCUUCCCCAUGCGGAAAAACUUCAAUAUGCGGUAUUAGCACAGAUUUCUCUGUGUUAUCCCCCUNUUACAGGCAGGUUACUCACGCGUUACUCACCCGUCCG